Nerophis ophidion (straightnose pipefish) is the source of this 1365-nucleotide long non-coding RNA. RefSeq lists it as uncharacterized. The transcript is spliced from 2 exons. Lineage: Eukaryota; Metazoa; Chordata; Actinopteri; Syngnathiformes; Syngnathidae. The record is from RefSeq and is a predicted model, not a curated record.
UUUAACAAUUUGUGUGAUACAUCUGAAAAUAAGUAUUUGAACACCAACAUUAAUAUUUGGUAGAGUAGCCUUUGUUUGCAAUUACAGAGGUCAAACGUUUCCUGUAGUUCUUCAGCAGGUUUGCACAGACUGCAGGAGGGAUUUUGGCCCACUCCUCCAGACAGAUCUUCUCUAGAUCAGUCAGGUUUCUGGGCUGUCGCUGAGCAACACAGACUUUCAGCUCCCUCCAUAGAUUUUCAAUUGGAUUUAGGUCUGGAGACUGGCUAGGCCAUUCCAGAACCUUGAUAUGGUUCUUACAAAGCCACUUCUUGGGUUUCCUGGCUGUGUGCUUUGGGUCAUUGUCAUGUUGGAAGAUCCAGCCACGACUCAUCUUCAAUGAUCUGACUGAGGGAAGGAGGUUUUUGGCCAAAAUCUCACAAUACAUGGCUACAGUCAUCCUCUCCUUGAUACAGUACAGUCGUCCUGUCCCAUGAGCAGAAAAACACCCCCAAAGCAUGAUGCUACCACCCCCAUGCUUCACAGUCGGGAUGGUGUUCUUGGGAUGGUACGCAUCAUUCUUCUUCCUCCAAACACGAAUAGUGGAAUUAUGACUAAAAAGUUCAAUUUUGAUCUCGUCUUUCUCCCAUGACUCCUCUGGAUCAUCCAAAUGAUCAUUGGCAAACUUAAGACGGGCCUUAACAUGUGCUGGUUUAAGCAGGUGAACCUUCCGUGCCAUGCAUGAUUUCAAACCAUGACGUCUUAGUGUAUUACCAACAGUGACCAUGGAAACAGUGGUCCCAGCUCUUUUCAGGUCAUUGACCAAGUCCUGCCGUGUAGUCUUGGGCUGAUUCCUCACCUUUCUUAGCAUCAUUGUGACCCCACGAGGUGAUAUCUUACAUGGGGCUCCACUCCGAUUGAGAUUGACCGUCAUGUUUAGCUUCUUACAUUUUCUAAUGGUUGCUCCAACAGUGGACCUUUUUUCACCAAGCUGCUUGGCAAUUUCACCGUAGCCCUUUCCAUCCUUGUGGAGUUGUACAAUUUUGUCUCUGGUGUCUUUGGACAGCUCUUUGCUCUUAGCCAUGCUGAAUGUUUGGGUCUUACUGAUUGUAUGGGGUGGACUGGUGUCUUUAUGCAGCUAACAACUUCACACAGGUGCAUCUGAUUCAGGAUAAUACAUUGGAGUGGAGGAGGACUUUUAAAGGCGGACUAACAGGUCUUCGAGGGUCAGAAUUCUAGCUGAUAGACAGGUUAUCUCUCAUCCAGUGGACAUGCACCUACCCUGAAAAUUUCAGACCCCUCCAUGAUUUCUAAGUGGGAGAACUUGCAAAAUAGCUGGGUGUUCAAAUACUUAUUUUCUUGACUGUAUAUAAAUCUAGUACAUUAUUA